CAUGCUGCAACAAAUCAAAUUUGAGUGAUUUCACAAAAUUUAGCAAAGUGUUUGAUGAAAUGACUCAAAGAAAACAGACUUUGGUUUUUCUACAGUUGGCUCUCACAGUUUUCAAAGGGGAUUGCGGGAUUAAUUGCCUUUUAAUAUUGGUUUGCAGAUUGCAAUGAUAAUAAGAACAUUUUAAAAUUGAUCCCAGCUUUUGC
RNAcentral lists this long non-coding RNA (203 nucleotides) under Vigna radiata. Its description in RNAcentral is "long non-coding RNA (VRAD_LNC012758)". Lineage: Eukaryota; Viridiplantae; Streptophyta; Magnoliopsida; Fabales; Fabaceae. The record is from RNAcentral.